Molecule: long non-coding RNA, 235 nt
Filed under: Olea europaea subsp. europaea
Lineage: Eukaryota; Viridiplantae; Streptophyta; Magnoliopsida; Lamiales; Oleaceae
Source: RNAcentral
UAGAAAAUCAAAAUUUGAAGUUUCCAUUACCAUAGCAAGCAUUUGUGUAUUUGCUCUCCUGUUACUUGGGGCUGUCUUUGCCUACCGAUUCCAUCGGGUGCAUAAACCGAAAAGUGAUAUAUUUGUUGAUGUUGCAGGUAAUUUUUCUUCGAAUUAUAUAUUAUUUUAAUUUUUUUGAGUACACAACGUAAUAUAUAUAAAGAUUGCUGGGAGAGGUAUUGGCUCUUCACGUGUU